UGCAUAUAUACCAUCCUCUCCCCCACCGUUACAUCACAGAACAAGCAUUAGGAUUCUCAUCACUGAAGAUCUGCGGCGUAUAAGCAUUAUACUCCACCAUCCUAGGGUAGUAGUAAUACACGAGCUCGUUCCUUCUCAGCUCCGGCUUGCCGUCGGCGAUAGCCGCCGCAACAGCCGCCGCCGCUGCCUCCUCCGGUGAUCCCUCAUCCUUCUUCUCCUUCUCGUCACCGCCCUCCGCCUUCUUCUCCCCCUCUGCCUCAGGUUUGGUAUCAGCCUUAGCCUCCUCCUUCCCCUUCUCCUUCUCCGCCGGCUCCUCCGGCUUCGCCGCCGGCUCCUGCUUCACUACCACGGCGUGCUUGCCGGACUUCUUGUAAAUAUACUCUACCAGCUUCGCCGGCUCAAACACUCCUUUCACCGUCACCUGCG
RNAcentral lists this unclassified non-coding RNA (426 nucleotides) under Hevea brasiliensis (rubber tree). Lineage: Eukaryota; Viridiplantae; Streptophyta; Magnoliopsida; Malpighiales; Euphorbiaceae. The record is from RNAcentral.